CGAGUCAGUUAUUUACAAAUAUUGCUUUAUAAAAAAAACUAACAAAGAACAAGUGAAGGAAUAAACUAACCCCGAGAUAAACCUGAAAGACCAAG
Molecule: long non-coding RNA, 95 nt
Organism: Ipomoea nil (Japanese morning glory)
Lineage: Eukaryota; Viridiplantae; Streptophyta; Magnoliopsida; Solanales; Convolvulaceae
Exons: 3
Source: RefSeq, a predicted model, not a curated record